Molecule: ribosomal RNA, 252 nt
Filed under: uncultured bacterium
Lineage: Bacteria
Description: partial 16S ribosomal RNA
Rfam family: Bacterial small subunit ribosomal RNA
Source: RNAcentral
UACGGAGGAUCCAAGCGUUAUCCGGAUUCACUGGGUUUAAAGGGUGCGUAGGUGGAAUGACAAGUCAGUGGUGAAAACCUGCAGCUUAACUGUAGAACUGCCAUUGAUACUGUUAUUCUUGAGUACAUUUGAUGUGAGUGGAAUGUGUCGUGUAGCGGUGAAAUGCUUAGAUAUGACACAGAACACCAAUUGCGAAGGCAGCUCACAAACUGUAACUGACACUGAGGCACGAAAGCGUGGGGAUCAAACAGG